RNAcentral lists this transfer RNA (73 nucleotides) under Camelus bactrianus (Bactrian camel). It matches the Rfam family "tRNA". From Rfam's summary of the family: Transfer RNA (tRNA) molecules are approximately 80 nucleotides in length. Their secondary structure includes four short double-helical elements and three loops (D, anti-codon, and T loops). RNAcentral also lists the same sequence under 1 other name. Lineage: Eukaryota; Metazoa; Chordata; Mammalia; Artiodactyla; Camelidae. The record is from Rfam by way of RNAcentral.
GAAGGUAUAGCUCGAGUGGUAGAGCAUAUGCUUGGCAUGCACGAGGUCCUGGGUUCAGUUCCCAGUACCUCUA